RNAcentral lists this ribosomal RNA (465 nucleotides) under Vreelandella stevensii. Its description in RNAcentral is "partial 16S ribosomal RNA". It matches the Rfam family "Bacterial small subunit ribosomal RNA", at positions 338 to 795 of the family's 1533-position model. Lineage: Bacteria; Pseudomonadati; Pseudomonadota; Gammaproteobacteria; Oceanospirillales; Halomonadaceae. The record is from RNAcentral.
CCUACGGGGGGCUGCAGUGGGGAAUAUUGGACAAUGGGGGGAACCCUGAUCCAGCCAUGCCGCGUGUGUGAAGAAGGCCCUCGGGUUGUAAAGCACUUUCAGUGAGGAAGAACGCCUGGUGGUUAAUACCCAUCAGGAAAGACAUCACUCACAGAAGAAGCACCGGCUAACUCCGGGCCAGCAGCCGCGGUAAUACGGAGGGUGCGAGCGUUAAUCGGAAUUACUGGGCGUAAAGCGCGCGUAGGUGGCUUGAUAAGCCGGUUGUGAAAGCCCCGGGCUCAACCUGGGAACGGCAUCCGGAACUGUCAAGCUAGAGUGCAGGAGAGGAAGGUAGAAUUCCCGGUGUAGCGGUGAAAUGCGUAGAGAUCGGGAGGAAUACCAGUGGCGAAGGCGGCCUUCUGGACUGACACUGACACUGAGGUGCGAAAGCGUGGGUAGCAAACAGGAUUAGAUACCCGAGUAGUC